GUGUCCUGUCCUCCUCAUCUGUUCCAGUGUGGUAGUUUGGAGUGUGUGGACACGUCUCAGCUCUGUAACGGAGUCACUAACUGUCCGGACGGUUCUGAUGAGGGCGGGACGUGCCAGACAGACAAAUGCUCUGAACAGUCAAAGUGUGCACAGGACUGCCAUAGCACACCUACAGGCACGCGCUGUUGGUGCAGGAUCGGCUACAAGCCUGUAGAUGAUGGUGUGGUGUGUGUUGAUGUGGAUGAGUGUGUGGACCAUCCAGACUUCUGUUCACACCACUGUAUCAACACUCAGGGCUCAUUUGAGUGCUCAUGUAGUCACGGCUAUGUUCUGGAACCUGAUGGCCACAGCUGCAAAAUCACAGGUGAGCCGUACCUGCUGGCGUCUGUGCAGCCUGAGGUCUUCCUGCUGGGUCUGAGGAGCUCCAGUCUGGACGUCCUGCUAUCGUCAGAGAAGCAGUUUGUCCUUUCACUUGACUACGACUGGCAGAAGCAGAGAGUGUACUGGAUCAGCCUCGACACAGACCACAUAAAAUGGUUGUCACUGGAUCAGAAGAGCAAAGGAACCUUCAUUAAAGG
Sinocyclocheilus rhinocerous is the source of this 578-nucleotide long non-coding RNA. RefSeq lists it as uncharacterized. The record is from RefSeq and is a predicted model, not a curated record. The transcript is spliced from 3 exons. NCBI's taxonomy places the organism in Eukaryota, Metazoa, Chordata, Actinopteri, Cypriniformes, Cyprinidae.